GAUCAUGGCUCAGGACGAACGCUGGCGGCGUGCUUAACACAUGCAAGUCGAACGAAGAGCGAUGGAAGCUUGCUUCUAUCAAUCUUAGUGGCGAACGGGUGAGUAACGCGUAAUCAACCUGCCCUUCAGAGGGGGACAACAGUUGGAAACGACUGCUAAUACCGCAUACUAUCUAAUCUCGGCAUCGAGGAUAGAUGAAAGGUGGCCUCUACAUGUAAGCUAUC
Molecule: ribosomal RNA, 224 nt
Filed under: uncultured bacterium
Lineage: Bacteria
Description: partial 16S ribosomal RNA
Rfam family: Bacterial small subunit ribosomal RNA
Source: RNAcentral